GUGCGAUCGACAGCGGAGGGACAGAAAGGUCGGCACCUGACCCACGCAUCUGAGACAUGGAGCCUUCUCCGUCACCUCCGUCCCCGGUCGUCCCCGGCCUCGUUCCAUUAUUACCAACUCCCGUUUUUCCUUAACGCCAUCGCCAUGGAUGAUCCUCCAUCGACCAAGGUCACGACAAAGCUCAGCUGCAUCUGCAUGCACCAACCAGUUGAUCGUCUGAGAGUGUCGUCUGCCGGACAAUCAAUUACCGGCGGGUGAAUUUACACACCGACUGCGACACACUGGCCCUCGACUGCAAGGCUUUCAUAUGACCACCUGCUCCGGUCCGGUGACUUGGCUGCCGGCCGGCCAGCGAGGGAUCGACAGGGAAAUUUCUGCGCAUCCAUUCAAGUGGUGAGACCAAAUUAACUGUGCUGUGCUUCACUCAUAACCCCAGGGCGCACGCUGUACAUGCUCAUUCAUUCGGUCAGUCGGUGCCCCGGCCAGUCCCCACGCAUUCGGUUUGUCUGUAGCAGCGCUCUUCACACACUACUCUGAAGAUAUUUACCAGUGCAGUGAUAUUUCUCUGAAACUUUUCUGAAGAUAGCUUUUACAUGCAUGUGUCUGUGAGAACUGAGAAGGAGAGCAAUGGACAGUAGUGGAUGCAAACUGCACAGCAAGCUUGUUCCCAGCUUUCAGAGACGGAUGCACGAUGCAGCAGAGAUGGCAUAUCUGUUUUGGCAUGGCAUGGGUACUAUAGCUACUACUGGCCGGUGAUGCAACGCAGCAACUUGCAGCUGCAUGCCCCUGAAUGUUAGUUGGUGCUAAUGGGAGCCUCCUCAUCCUGUGAAUGUGUGUCUCCUCAUGGCAUCUUGUCCCUGUUUGCAUCAUGCAGCAUCCAAAAGCCAGGCAGAAUGCAGGACAAGCAGCUCCCUUGGCGCAUUGCAUCCUCUUCACCUUGCAGACCAGAGCAGGACCAACACCCUGGUAGGCUGGUGGCACUACCCCACUAUAUACACGCAUGUAUGAAAAGUGUGCAUAUAUAGAUGUAUGUGAUCCUGUGGAUGGUCUGCUCCA
Long non-coding RNA from Triticum dicoccoides, 1056 nucleotides. RefSeq lists it as uncharacterized. Lineage: Eukaryota; Viridiplantae; Streptophyta; Magnoliopsida; Poales; Poaceae. The record is from RefSeq and is a predicted model, not a curated record. The transcript has 2 exons.